Long non-coding RNA from Hevea brasiliensis (rubber tree), 3293 nucleotides. RefSeq lists it as uncharacterized. Lineage: Eukaryota; Viridiplantae; Streptophyta; Magnoliopsida; Malpighiales; Euphorbiaceae. The transcript is spliced from 2 exons. The record is from RefSeq and is a predicted model, not a curated record.
AGUAGACAAAAUUACAACAAAGUGGGUUAGUGGCAGAUUACCAAGUGAAAUUUGAGCAACUGAUUACACUGGCAGGUGUCCUUACCCAAGCACAAAAAAUUGAGCUCUACAUCAGCGGUCUUUCAUAGUACAUUGCAGUCAAGGUGGAACUACACAAUCCUACAGAUUUGGCAAUUGUAAUGAGCAUGUCUCGGCUUUAUGAACGAAAAGGGAAUUUCGUCAGGUCUCCAAUGAAGGAGGCUAGGAGAGUUGAACCUCCUGAGCCAUCGUCAACUUUACGCCCCAUAUUUGUUAAAAAAUUAAACAGGGUUCAGAUGGAAGAAAGACAACUUAAAGGCCUUUGUUACAACUGUGACGAAUGAUUCGUUAGGGGGCAUCAAUGUAAGAGAUUGUUUUGGAUUGAAUCAAUAGAUGAAGGGGAUGACGAACUAAAAAAACCUGAAUCAGGUAUAAGCAAUGAUCCACCAGAGGUAUCAUUAAAUGCCAUUGUGGGAAUAACCACCCCUCAGACCAUGCGAUUGCAAGGAAAACUGAAUGGUGCAAAGGUUUUGAUUCUGAUAGAUUCUAGCAGUACCCACAGCUUCAUAGACUCCAAGUUAGUAUCACAAAUCAACAUUGCAACGGAAAAGAGUGAGGGAUUGCGUGUCGUGGUGGCAAAUAGAGAAAAAAUUAAUAGUCCUAGGCGGUGCAAAGGAAUUCCCCUUCGGUUAGGAACUCACAAUUUCCUUAUUGAUUUCUUUAUUCUAACCUUAAGUGGCUUGAUGUGGUAUUAGGUCUAAAUUGGCUCAAUACCAUGAGCACGUCUUUUACCAUAUUUGGUGAACAGGUAGAAUUAUGGGGACUUAAAACUCCAAAAGCAACUCAAUUGGUUGCAAUUCAAUCAACAUCGAUCACAGCUGAUCACGAUGCAGAUUUAAAUCAACUCCUACAGAAUUUUUCUUCUUUAUUUUAGGAACCAGAUGGAUUACCUCUGCCCAUCGCUGUGAUCACCGGAUUCUCCUAGAAUCUAGAACCAAACCGAUAGUAGUCUAACCAUAUCGCUAUCCACGUGCUUAGAAAGAUGAGAUUGAGCGGCAAUGUUCAAAAAUGUUAAAGCAAGGUAUUAUUUGGCUCAGUCAAUCAACAUUUUCAUCUCCUGUGUUAUUGGUUCCCAUGUCAGACUGCUCAUGGUGUAUUUGCAUUGACUAUCGGGAAUUGGAUGCUAAAAUGACAAAAGACAAAUUCCCCAUUCCAGUAAUUGAUGAAUUGUUAGAGGAACUAUUUAGAGCACUAUAUUUCACUAAAUUGGAUAUGAAAUUGGGGUGCCACCAAAUUUGCAUGAAGGAAGCUGAUUUGAGAAAACUGCCUUCCAUACACACCACGGCCACUUUGAAUUCCUAGUCAUGCUUUUCGGAUUAACAAAUGCCCCAUCUACUUUUUAGGCAUUGAUGAAUGAGAUAUUCUGCAAUUACUUACAGAAUUUUGUUUUGGUAUUUUUUGACGACAUUCUUAUUUACAGUCGUUCUUUGAUAAAGCAUAUCAACCAUUUGCGAACGGUCUUCCAAUUGCUUUCUGUAAAUAAGCUAUGCUUGAAGCAAUCUAAAUGUUCAUUUGCUCAAAAUCAAAUUGCUUAUUUGGGACACACAAUCACAGUAGAAGGGGUUGUUACGGAUGCAAACAAAAUUUCAACCAUGACUAAAUGGCCUAAGCCCACAAAUAUUCGAGGCUUGAGAGGUUUUUUGGGCCUCAAAAGGAAGGUAUUACCGCAAAUUUAUUCAUAAUUAUGGUUCCAUUGUAGCUCCCUUAACAAACAUGCUUGGCAAAAAUUCUUUCACUUGGACUGAGGAAUCUUCUAAGUAUUUGAAAAACUAAAGACAACCAUGAAUACCACACCAGUGUUAGCACUUCCAGAUUUUUCUCAAUCUUUUAAGAACUUCUAUUGGACUAGAAUGAAAUCUCUCAUUCGAGACUUUGUUCAGGCUUGUAGUAUUUUCCAAAGACACAAAAUAGAGACCCUCCAACUUGCAGGUCUUCUCCAACCUUUACCAGUGCCAAAACAGAUUUGGUCAGAUAUUUCGCUAGACUUCGUCGAAGGUCUACCCCUUUCUCAUGGUAAAAGUGUUAUUCUGGUAGUUGUUGAUCGUUUUUCAAAAUAUUGCAAUCUAUUACGAGUUGCUCAUCCAUAUUUGACUGUUAGUAUUCCUGCAUCUUCUUUGACAAUAUUUUUAAAUUACACGGCUCAUCGGAGACAAUGGUGAGUGGCAGGGAUGUCACAUUUGCAAGUGCCUUUUGAAAAGAACUUUUUCGGCUUAGUGACACUAAAUUAUGUUUUACUUUAGCAUAUCAUCUACAAUCCAAUAGCCAGACAAAAGUAGUAAAUCGUACAUUGCACAGUGGAAAUGUAUUUACGAUGUUUUAUGAGUGCUUACCCAACUAAAUGGAUGGAUUGGUUAUCUUGGGUAGAAUAUUCUUAUAAUUCUAAUUUCCAUUCAUCAUUAUUAACCACUCCAUUUGAGGUGGUCUAUGGGCGUCCACCUCCACGUCUCUUGUCCUACUACCCUGGAGUCUCAAAAUUGGACGCCGUGGAAAAGGCCUUCAAGUCUAGGGAUGAGAUGUUAGCCUCAUUAAAACAGAACUUGCUGCAUGCGCAAAACAAAAUGGAGUGUGUGUGUGAUGCCAAACAUUAGAAACUGGAAUUUCAAGUUGGAGAUAUGGUUCUUUUGCGCCUACAACCUUAUCGCCAAUUGUCCAUGGCAAAUCGUCAUCAUCAAAAACUUUUACCGAAGUUUUAUGGCCCUUUCACAAUUGUGCAACGUAUUGGAAAUAUGGCUUAUUAGUUGGACUUACCGCCGGAGACUAAAAUUCAUCCGGUGUUUCAUGUCUCAUGUUUAAAGACGCAUCUUGGGAUGCUGUAUCAUCAAUGCAGCAACGAUUCCCAAACUUUUUGCUUGAGGACAAGCAUCAUUUGGAGGACGGGAGUAAUGCUAGCGCUACAUCAGCUAACAGUGGCACAACAGAUAAGGUUGAUCCAAAUGGGCCAGCAGAAGCGAAUCCUAAUCUCAUAAGGUACAAGAGAUUCACACAUGGAAAGUCUAGAAGGCAUCAACAUCAGAUGGCAUCAAGAUAAAUUACCAGAAUUUUAACUAAAUAAAAACCAGGAUCAGAUCAUUCCUGUCUUGAAUUUAUCUUAUCAUUUAGUUGUCAAUUUAUGUUUUAGAGAUAAUUUUCAAUUUCUUGUUUUAAGGAUGGUUAUACCAUCAUGCUGUAUUUAAAGGCAGUCUAGUUUAAUAAAAGAUCAUCAAGAAAUUCAUUCA